CGUGUAGGCGGAUGGGAACGUCGGAUACUGAAAGCCCCCGGCUCAACCGGGGAAGUGGUUCCGAAACGACCUGUCUGGAGGGACGUAGGGGGAUCUGGAACUCCCGGUGGAGCGGUGAAAUGCGUUGAGAUCGGAAGGAACGCCCGUGGCGAAAGCGAGGUCCUGGACGUCUGCUGACGCUGAGACGCGAAAGCUAGGGGAGCAAACGGGAUUAGAUACCCCGGGUAGUCCUAGCCGUAAACGAUGGGCACUGGGUAGGGGGCUCGCCGAUGGGCUCUCUGCCGUAGCGAAAGCGUGAAGUGCCCCCGCCUGGGGGAGUAUGGUCGCAAGGCUGAA
RNAcentral lists this ribosomal RNA (336 nucleotides) under uncultured bacterium. RNAcentral's name for it is "bacterial SSU rRNA". It matches the Rfam family "Bacterial small subunit ribosomal RNA", at positions 568 to 898 of the family's 1533-position model. The record is from RNAcentral.